GGAGACCAUCUCUCUGGAUUCCAGAAGGCAUGAGGACCCAGAUGCUAUACAGUGGGAAAACCAGCCUGGCAACAUAAGCUCACAAGCUAUCAGAAAGUUGUAUGGCAACCACCUCCGGCGCCAAAUAGAACUGGCAGACAUAGACAUUCAGUACAAGAAGAAAAAGAUGGAAAAUCUUGCACUGGAGUCCGAAAUAAAAAGAGGACAAUUAGGAAACUGGACCUUGAAAAAAAAA
Oncorhynchus nerka (sockeye salmon) is the source of this 235-nucleotide long non-coding RNA. RefSeq lists it as uncharacterized. The transcript has 3 exons. The record is from RefSeq and is a predicted model, not a curated record. Lineage: Eukaryota; Metazoa; Chordata; Actinopteri; Salmoniformes; Salmonidae.